RNAcentral lists this ribosomal RNA (501 nucleotides) under uncultured bacterium. RNAcentral's name for it is "partial 16S ribosomal RNA". It matches the Rfam family "Bacterial small subunit ribosomal RNA", at positions 29 to 523 of the family's 1533-position model. The record is from RNAcentral.
AUUGAACGCUGGCGGCAUGCCUUACACAUGCAAGUCGAACGGCAGCACGGGUGCUUGCACCUGGUGGCGAGUGGCGAACGGGUGAGUAAUACAUCGGAACGUACCUUAUCGUGGGGGAUAACGCAGCGAAAGCUGUGCUAAUACCGCAUACGCCCUGAGGGGGAAAGCGGGGGAUCGAAAGACCUCGCGCGAUUAGAGCGGCCGAUGCCUGAUUAGCUUGUUGGUGGGGUAAAAGCCCACCAAGGCGACGAUCAGUAGCUGGUCUGAGAGGACGAUCAGCCACACUGGGACUGAGACACGGCCCAGACUCCUACGGGAGGCAGCAGUGGGGAAUUUUGGACAAUGGGGGCAACCCUGAUCCAGCAAUGCCGCGUGAGUGAAGAAGGCCUUCGGGUUGUAAAGCUCUUUUGUCAGGGAAGAAACACCGGCUCUAACACAGUCCGGGAAUGACGGUACCUGAAGAAUAAGCCCCGGCAAACUUCGUGCCAGCAGCCGCAGUAA